RNAcentral lists this long non-coding RNA (1036 nucleotides) under Neodiprion lecontei (redheaded pine sawfly). Its description in RNAcentral is "uncharacterized LOC124293284". Lineage: Eukaryota; Metazoa; Arthropoda; Insecta; Hymenoptera; Diprionidae. The record is from RNAcentral.
GUAGGUACCAAUGCGCUAAUAAAAUUUCUAUAAUUUCUUAUAAUUUGCUCACAAUCUUCUUGGUGAAAUGUGUCAAAAUAAAAGUUAUAUUAAACCGUACACAAUAUUUUUGAUGUGUUCUAAUACUAAAAAUAUUCAUUAGUAUUCGAGGUAUAACCCGAGGUGGUUAGCGGUUGUCGUGGGAGGUGGUUGGCGGUGGUUGGAGGUGGUUAGGGGCGGUUGCGGGUGAUCGAAGUGGACGAGGAGGAGGACGAGGAUGAUGAGGAGAACAAGGUGGACGAGGAGAACGAGGAUUUGUGCACGUAUUCGAGGUAAAGCCCGAGGGGGUAGGCGGCGAUAGAAGGUGGUCGGAGGAGAAGGAGAAGGCGAAUUGGAUGACGAAGAAGACGAAGAGGACUAAGACGAAGAGGAGUACUGGGAUGAGAAGAUGGAGGAGUAGGACGAGGUGGACGAGGAGAACAGAGGUGGUCGGAAGUAGUAUUCGGAAUGCCCGCGAAGUUUUGCUGGACACAGCCAUCCCGAUCCAGGCGUCAGGCGGGAGAAACGGUUGAACGUUUUGAAGACUCUGCGGAAAGACACCAACCCGUACGGCCCGACAAUCAUAAUACUCCGCAGAAGUCGAAAACCAAGUCAAUUUUGAGAUUUUCCGAAGUUCCAAAUACACAGUACCAGUUCACUGAAUUUUCGAUGUCGUUACGAUCCCUGCUGUUCUCAUCUCCCAUCUCAACGUGAAUAAACGACGCAACCUGAAGGUGAACACAAGAUUUCUAAGCAUCCAUCAAACGAGAGUGGAGAAGAGUAUAAUACCUGGAUUGGCAAGUGAUUCAUCUAGUGCAACGGUAUUUGACGACAAAGACAAGGGACCAGUUAAUUUUAACGUCUUGUGUAUUGAAGGCGUAUUUUUAAAUUGUGUGAAUAUUUGGAUGCGUGAAUGAACAACUUUUGAUCUUUUUUUUUAUGUGUACACUUCUGUUUUUACCAUUUAUCAAUCUGUUUAUUCGAACUAUUUUAUCUAUACUAUUGUAUCUUUACAAUU